AUUGAACGCUGGCGGCAGGCCUAACACAUGCAAGUCGAGCGGAUGAAGGGAGCUUGCUCCUGGAUUCAGCGGCGGACGGGUGAGUAAUGCCUAGGAAUCUGCCUGGUAGUGGGGGAUAACGUCCGGAAACGGGCGCUAAUACCGCAUACGUCCUGAGGGAGAAAGUGGGGGAUCUUCGGACCUCACGCUAUCGGAUGAGCCGAGGUCGGAUUAGCUAGUUGGUGGGGUAAAGGCCUACCAAGGCGACGAUCCGUAACUGGUCUGAGAGGAUGAUCAGUCACACUGGAACUGAGACACGUUCCAGACUCCUACGGGAGGCAGCAGUGGGGAAUAUUGGACAAUGGGCGAAAGCCUGAUCCAGCCAUGCCGCGUGUGUGAAGAAGGUCUUCGGAUUGUAAAGCACUUUAAGUUGGGAGGAAGGGCAGUAAGUUAAUACCUUGCUGUUUUGACGUUACCAACAGAAUAAGCACCGGCUAACUUCGUG
Molecule: ribosomal RNA, 484 nt
Filed under: uncultured bacterium
Lineage: Bacteria
Description: partial 16S ribosomal RNA
Rfam family: Bacterial small subunit ribosomal RNA
Source: RNAcentral